This 1352-nucleotide ribosomal RNA is filed under the name uncultured bacterium. RNAcentral describes it as "bacterial SSU rRNA". It matches the Rfam family "Bacterial small subunit ribosomal RNA", at positions 28 to 1381 of the family's 1533-position model. The record is from RNAcentral.
AUUGAACGCUGGCGGCAUGCCUUACACAUGCAAGUCGAACGGCAGCGCGGGGCAACCUGGCGGCGAGUGGCGAACGGGUGAGUAAUAUAUCGGAACGUACCCUGGAGUGGGGGAUAACGUAGCGAAAGUUACGCUAAUACCGCAUACGAUCUAAGGAUGAAAGUGGGGGAUUCGCAAGAACCUCAUGCUCCUGGAGCGGCCGAUAUCUGAUUAGCUAGUUGGUGGGGUAAAGGCCUACCAAGGCAUCGACCAGUAGCUGGUCUGAGAGGACGACCAGCCACACUGGAACUGAGACACGGUCCAGACUCCUACGGGAGGCAGCAGUGGGGAAUUUUGGACAAUGGGCGAAAGCCUGAUCCAGCAAUGCCGCGUGAGUGAAGAAGGCCUUCGGGUUGUAAAGCUCUUUUGUCAGGGAAGAAACGGUGAGGGCUAAUAUCCUUUGCUAAUGACGGUACCUGAAGAAUAAGCACCGGCUAACUACGUGCCAGCAGCCGCGGUAAUACGUAGGGUGCAAGCGUUAAUCGGAAUUACUGGGCGUAAAGCGUGCGCAGGCGGUUUUGUAAGUCUGUCGUGAAAUCCCCGGGCUCAACCUGGGAAUUGCGAUGGAGACUGCAAGGCUAGAAUCUGGCAGAGGGGGGUAGAAUUCCACGUGUAGCAGUGAAAUGCGUAGAGAUGUGGAGGAACACCGAUGGCGAAGGCAGCCCCCUGGGUCAAGAUUGACGCUCAUGCACGAAAGCGUGGGGAGCAAACAGGAUUAGAUACCCUGGUAGUCCACGCCCUAAACGAUGUCUACUAGUUGUCGGGUUUUAAUUAACUUGGUAACGCAGCUAACGCGUGAAGUAGACCGCCUGGGGAGUACGGUCGCAAGAUUAAAACUCAAAGGAAUUGACGGGGACCCGCACAAGCGGUGGAUGAUGUGGAUUAAUUCGAUGCAACGCGAAAAACCUUACCUACCCUUGACAUGUACGGAAGUCCGGAGAGAUCUGGAUGUGCUCGAAAGAGAGCCGUAACACAGGUGCUGCAUGGCUGUCGUCAGCUCGUGUCGUGAGAUGUUGGGUUAAGUCCCGCAACGAGCGCAACCCUUGUCAUUAGUUGCUACGAAAGGGCACUCUAAUGAGACUGCCGGUGACAAACCGGAGGAAGGUGGGGAUGACGUCAAGUCCUCAUGGCCCUUAUGGGUAGGGCUUCACACGUCAUACAAUGGUACAUACAGAGGGCCGCCAACCCGCGAGGGGGAGCUAAUCCCAGAAAGUGUAUCGUAGUCCGGAUUGUAGUCUGCAACUCGACUACAUGAAGUUGGAAUCGCUAGUAAUCGCGGAUCAGCAUGUCGCGGUGAAUACGUUCCCGGGUCU